Non-coding RNA from Peziza echinospora, 108 nucleotides. Lineage: Eukaryota; Fungi; Ascomycota; Pezizomycetes; Pezizales; Pezizaceae. The record is from the annotation of a GenBank genome assembly.
GCCCGGUUGGCUCAGUCGGUAGAGCGUGUGACUCUUACUUUACGACUGCUUCAUCACAGUUGUAGAUAAGUUAUCUCAAGGUCGCGAGUUCGAGCCUCGCAUUGGGCU